Molecule: ribosomal RNA, 894 nt
Filed under: Pseudomonas sp. DP_00079
Lineage: Bacteria; Pseudomonadati; Pseudomonadota; Gammaproteobacteria; Pseudomonadales; Pseudomonadaceae
Description: bacterial SSU rRNA
Rfam family: Bacterial small subunit ribosomal RNA
Source: RNAcentral
UUUUUUUUAGGGUUUGGGAUCUGCUCAGAUUGAACGCUGGCGGCAGGCCUAACACAUGCAAGUCGAGCGGAUGAAGAGAGCUUGCUCUCUGAUUCAGCGGCGGACGGGUGAGUAAUGCCUAGGAAUCUGCCUGGUAGUGGGGGACAACGUCUCGAAAGGGACGCUAAUACCGCAUACGUCCUACGGGAGAAAGCAGGGGACCUUCGGGCCUUGCGCUAUCAGAUGAGCCUAGGUCGGAUUAGCUAGUUGGUGAGGUAAUGGCUCACCAAGGCGACGAUCCGUAACUGGUCUGAGAGGAUGAUCAGUCACACUGGAACUGAGACACGGUCCAGACUCCUACGGGAGGCAGCAGUGGGGAAUAUUGGACAAUGGGCGAAAGCCUGAUCCAGCCAUGCCGCGUGUGUGAAGAAGGUCUUCGGAUUGUAAAGCACUUUAAGUUGGGAGGAAGGGCUGUAGAUUAAUACUCUGCAAUUUUGACGUUACCGACAGAAUAAGCACCGGCUAACUCUGUGCCAGCAGCCGCGGUAAUACAGAGGGUGCAAGCGUUAAUCGGAAUUACUGGGCGUAAAGCGCGCGUAGGUGGUUUGUUAAGUUGGAUGUGAAAGCCCCGGGCUCAACCUGGGAACUGCAUUCAAAACUGACAAGCUAGAGUAUGGUAGAGGGUGGUGGAAUUUCCUGUGUAGCGGUGAAAUGCGUAGAUAUAGGAAGGAACACCAGUGGCGAAGGCGACCACCUGGACUGAUACUGACACUGAGGUGCGAAAGCGUGGGGAGCAAACAGGAUUAGAUACCCUGGUAGUCCACGCCGUAAACGAUGUCAACUAGCCGUUGGGAGCCUUGAGCUCUUAGUGGCGCAGCUAACGCAUUAAGUGACCGCCUGGGAGUCGCCGACCGG